Molecule: unclassified non-coding RNA, 134 nt
Filed under: Caenorhabditis briggsae
Lineage: Eukaryota; Metazoa; Nematoda; Chromadorea; Rhabditida; Rhabditidae
Description: comCb14 H/ACA snoRNA
Source: RNAcentral
UAGGCAUGUAUUUAAUGCGGGUGAAUGACGUUAAUUUGGCCGUUUAGCUUGCAUGCGAAAUCAUUCUCCAUCGAAGAAUACAUUCGCUGAGCUCUGUUCAAAGAAUUCAUGAUUUUUCUGAAAUGGAAACAUUU